CCAAUAGCGUAUAUUAAAGUUGUUGCAGUUAAAAAGCUCGUAGUUGAAUUUCGGGAUCAAUAUAUCGGUCGUGCCAUUGGUACGUACUGGUAUCAUUGGUUUCUCCUUUCUGACGAACCAUGAUGUCAUUAAUUUGGUGUUAUGGGAAGUUAGGACUGUUACUUUGAAAAAAUUAGAGUGUUUAAAGCAGGCUUUAGCUUGAAUACAUUAGCAUGGAAUAAUGAAAUAGGACGUUCGAACCUAUUUGUUGGUUUCUAGGAUCAACGUAAUGAUUAAUAGGGAUAGUUGGGGGCAUUAGUAUUCAAUUGUCAGAGGUGAAAUUCUUGGAUUUAUUGAAGACUAACUACUGCGAAAGCAUUUGCCAAGGAUGUUUUCAUUAAUCAAGAACGAAAGUUAGGGGAUCGAAGACGAUCAGAUACCGUCGUAGUCUUAACCAUAAACUAUGCCGACUAGGGAUCGGAUGAUGUUAAUUUUUUAAUGACUCAUUCGGCGCCUUACG
This 499-nucleotide unclassified non-coding RNA is filed under the name uncultured Glomus. Its description in RNAcentral is "SSU rRNA". It matches the Rfam family "Eukaryotic small subunit ribosomal RNA", at positions 591 to 1092 of the family's 1831-position model. Lineage: Eukaryota; Fungi; Glomeromycota; Glomeromycetes; Glomerales; Glomeraceae. The record is from RNAcentral.